UCCUCGAUGGUCUAGUGGUCAUGAUUUCCGCUUGUCACGCGGGAGACCAGGGUUCGAUUCCCUGUCGGGGAG
Molecule: transfer RNA, 72 nt
Filed under: Exophiala mesophila
Lineage: Eukaryota; Fungi; Ascomycota; Eurotiomycetes; Chaetothyriales; Herpotrichiellaceae
Also listed under: 11 other names
Description: tRNA-Asp (GTC) (tRNA-Asp-GTC-1-1)
Rfam family: tRNA
About the family: Transfer RNA (tRNA) molecules are approximately 80 nucleotides in length. Their secondary structure includes four short double-helical elements and three loops (D, anti-codon, and T loops).
Source: RNAcentral